GCCCAGUGAUGAGACCAAGGCGAAUAUGAUCUUACUGAAUGAGAGCUGGGUUCUUCUUUGCCUUGACUGGCAGGUAAUCUUGGCAGUGCAGAGGAGGAUUCCUGCUCUGCUGUAAGGGCCUGCCUACAGUGACUUGGCUCGUCUCAAAUUAUUCCUCAGCAGUUAUAGUGGAGUAAUUGCUGGGAUGACGCUGACAGUGUGUGUGUGUGUGUGUGAGUGAGAAAAGCAAAAAGUUCAGCCGGCUCUCUUUUGCUUUCAGUCUGCAAUGAUUUGCGUCUUUGGUAAUCUGAGGGCA
Molecule: small nucleolar RNA, 295 nt
Filed under: Echeneis naucrates (live sharksucker)
Lineage: Eukaryota; Metazoa; Chordata; Actinopteri; Carangiformes; Echeneidae
Source: RNAcentral